AUGGUGCCGGCUGCUGAUGGGGCCGUGGGGCAGGUGGCCUCGGUGCCCUCAUCAGGGCCUGCGGUGGGUGAGCUACUGAUGGUGCAGAUUGAUUCUUUGGGAGGGAGGCCGAGGCUGCUAGAUCCGGCACCUUCCUCCCCUUUUACCGGGCCGGCGACGCUGGCGCCGGAGUCGCUUUUCGGAGAGGACUCGGGGCAGGUGGCCUCGGGGUCCUCUUCUCUUGUGGAGCCUAGAGGGGCUUGCUCGCCGACGCCGCCGGUGCCGCCAGUUGGCCCUUGGGCCGGGGUGGAUGGGGAGCUCGGGCAGGAGGCCCUGGCUCCACCUUCCCCCGGCUUGGGGCACUCCAGUAGAGCUUCUCGGGAGGAGGUGAUUGCUUUCGGUGGUAUUCUGGAUCCGGUCUCUGAGGGGCGACGGAUGAGUAGCCGUCUCCAGGACCAUCCGAAAGUGGACGACAUUCAGCAACGGUGCACUAUGAGGGCGGCCAAGCUUCGUGACGUGGAGGUUACUACUGGUAUGUCAAUCAAUACCUCUAAUUCUAUUUUGCAUUUUUCAAAUGAUGAGAUUAUAAACAAUGCAAAUAAGAUAGGAAUUUCACUAGGUAGUAAUGAUAGUGAGAUUUCAAACUCGGUUAAUGAUAUGCUGGAUUUAGAGGCCGAAUGGGCGCUUGAGAUGAUUCAUAACUUAGCUGCGGUUAAACCAAUGAAUAACUCUGAGAUUGAUGCUUUGGGGGUCAGGGUGCUCGAUAACUUUUGUGUGGAUCUUGCUCAUCCGUCUGCUGAACCUGAGGAGGAGGAUGAGCGAGUGGACUUUGUAGAGGUGCGCGCCUCUGAGACUGGUUGUGAGGACCAGCAGGAGAGUUUCAAUAUUCCUAAACACAAAUGGAAGCGGAAGAUCUACCCAGACUCCACAGUGCGUAGGAGCGCGCGGAUAAGAACGGCUAAAAAAUUCCAUGACGAGAUAUGA
Molecule: ribosomal RNA, 963 nt
Filed under: Triticum aestivum (bread wheat)
Lineage: Eukaryota; Viridiplantae; Streptophyta; Magnoliopsida; Poales; Poaceae
Description: partial small subunit ribosomal RNA
Source: RNAcentral